UAACCCUGCAAUGGACAAAGAGAUACCUUGGUGGUGGUGGUGUUUUAUCAACCAGGGGCAGAGAAAAAUGCCAAUCCUUUGUUCAUCCUAGCUUGAUUCCUGGCUUGGUGUCCAAAGCUGUUUUAUGCCUAGGACUCAUGA
This is a small nucleolar RNA of Grammomys surdaster, 141 nucleotides long. RefSeq annotates it as small nucleolar RNA SNORA48. The record is from RefSeq and is a predicted model, not a curated record. Lineage: Eukaryota; Metazoa; Chordata; Mammalia; Rodentia; Muridae. The transcript has a single exon.